Molecule: unclassified non-coding RNA, 499 nt
Filed under: uncultured Paraglomus
Lineage: Eukaryota; Fungi; Glomeromycota; Glomeromycetes; Paraglomerales; Paraglomeraceae
Description: SSU rRNA
Rfam family: Eukaryotic small subunit ribosomal RNA
Source: RNAcentral
CCAAUAGCGUAUAUUAAAGUUGUUGUGGUUAAAAAGCUCGUAGUUGAACCUUGGGCCUGGCUGGCCGGUCCGCCUCACCGCGUGUACUGGUCCGGCCGGGCCUUUCCCUCUGUGGAACCUCAUGCCCUUCACUGGGUGUGGCGGGGAAGCAGGACUUUUACUGUGAAAAAAUUAGAGUGCUCCAAGCAGGCCUAUGCUCGAAUACAUUAGCAUGGAAUAAUAAAAUAGGACGUGCGGGUCUAUUUUGUUGGUUUCUAGGACCGCCGUAAUGAUUAAUAGGGACAGUCGGGGGCAUCAGUAUUCAAUUGUCAGAGGUGAAAUGCUUGGAGUUAUUGAAGACUAACUACUGCGAAAGCAUUUGCCAAGGAUGUUUUCAUUAAUCAGGAACGAAAGUUAGGGGAUCGAAGACGAUCAGAUACCGUCGUAGUCUUAACCAUAAACUAUGCCGACUAGGAAUCAGACAAAGUUCAUUUUUUAACGACUUGUUUGGUACCUUACA